Molecule: ribosomal RNA, 484 nt
Filed under: uncultured bacterium
Lineage: Bacteria
Description: partial 16S ribosomal RNA
Rfam family: Bacterial small subunit ribosomal RNA
Source: RNAcentral
GUCGAACGCUGGCGGCGUGCUUAACACAUGCAAGUCGAACGAUGAAGCCGGAGCUUGCUCUGGUGAAUUAGUGGCGAACGGGUGAGUAACACGUGAGUAACCUGCCCUUGACUCUGGGAUAACUGCUAGAAAUGGUAGCUAAUACCGGAUACGACCCUCGGCGGCAUCGCCAGGGGGUGGAAAGAAUUUCGGUCAAGGAUGGACUCGCGGCGUAUCAGCUAGUUGGUGAGGUAACGGCUCACCAAGGCGACGACGGGUAGCCGGCCUGAGAGGGUGACCGGCCACACUGGGACUGAGACACGGCCCAGACUCCUACGGGAGGCAGCAGUGGGGAAUAUUGCACAAUGGGCGCAAGCCUGAUGCAGCAACGCCGCGUGAGGGAUGACGGCCUUCGGGUUGUAAACCUCUUUUAGUAGGGAAGAAGCGAAAGUGACGGUACCUGCAGAAAAAGCACCGGCUAACUACGUGCCAGCAGCCGCCGCAG